This 256-nucleotide ribosomal RNA is filed under the name uncultured bacterium. Its description in RNAcentral is "partial 16S ribosomal RNA". It matches the Rfam family "Bacterial small subunit ribosomal RNA", at positions 524 to 776 of the family's 1533-position model. The record is from RNAcentral.
UACGUAGGGCGCAAGCGUUAUCCGGAAUUAUUGGGCGUAAAGAGCUCGUAGGCGGUUUGUCGCGUCUGCCGUGAAAAGUCCGGGGGCUCAACUCCGGAUCUGCGGUGGGUACGGGCAGACUAGAGUGAUGUAGGGGGAGACUGGAAUUCCAGGUGUAGCGGUGAAAUGCGUAGAUAUCAGGAGGAACACCGGUGGCGAAGGCGGUUCUCUGGGCCGAAACUGACGCUGAGGAGCGAAAGCGUGGGGAGCAAACAGG